UAUAGAUCCUAAGUAACUACAAAACUGUUGGAAAGAGUUGUAACAGUGAUCCAUCCCUGGGGUGCCACCUUGCCAGUGGCCUUAUAAAAACUCAUCAUGUGGCUUUGUCAUGAGGAAAAGCUAACUAAGCGUGUUUAGGAAACUGAGUAGAAUUUGGCAGCAGCGUUGAACAAGCAAAAAUAUUGACAGACCCUGUGGUUCACAUGUGACUGUCCACAUGAAUGUCAAGACAUUGGUUUUAAAGAUUCUGAAAACUUAAUCCAUUUUUAUACACACUUUGGCUUCAUCUUCCUAGUCAUUUGAUUCAGUGCAUGAUUGAUGAAUCAAAUUGAUUACUGGAAAGCUUGAAAGAUGUUCAUUGAAGUAGUCUCUUCAUGUCUUGCUUUAGAUUUACAUAUUUA
RNAcentral lists this long non-coding RNA (401 nucleotides) under Bos taurus (domestic cattle). RNAcentral describes it as "long non-coding RNA NONBTAT004776". Lineage: Eukaryota; Metazoa; Chordata; Mammalia; Artiodactyla; Bovidae. The record is from RNAcentral.